This 460-nucleotide ribosomal RNA is filed under the name uncultured bacterium. RNAcentral's name for it is "partial 16S ribosomal RNA". It matches the Rfam family "Bacterial small subunit ribosomal RNA", at positions 338 to 795 of the family's 1533-position model. The record is from RNAcentral.
CCUACGGGUGGCUGCAGUGAGGAAUAUUGGUCAAUGGACGAGAGUCUGAACCAGCCAAGUAGCGUGAAGGAUGACUGCCCUAUGGGUUGUAAACUUCUUUUAUAUGGGAAUAACAUGUUCCACGUGUGGGAUUUUGUAUGUACCAUCUGAAUAAGGAUCGGCUAACUUCGUGCCAGCAGCCGCGGUAAUACGGAGGCGCCGAGCUUUAUCCGGAGUUAUUGGGUUUAAAGGGAGCGUAGGUGGAUGGUUAAGUCCGUUGUGAAAGUUUGCGGCUCAACCGUAAAAUUGCAUUUGAAACUGGCAGUCUUGAGUACAGUAGAGGUGAGCGGAAUUCGUGGUGUAGCGGUGAAAUGCUUAGAUAUCACGAAGAACUCCGAUUGCGAAGGCAGCUCACUGGACUGCAACUGACACUGAGGCUCGAAAGUGUGGGUAUCAAACAGGAUUAGAUACCCUUGUAGUC